AUUGAAUUUAAUUCAGGAUUAAAUAUUAUAUUGUAUAAUUUAAUUUAUAUUUUAUAUUUUAAUCUAAAAUUAAUAGGGAUAAGCUUAUUAAUUAAAUUUAUAGCUUUAAAUAUUUUGUUUAAGAUUUGUAGGAUUAAAAAUUUCCAUCAUUUAUUUUUUUAUAAUUAAUUUUAAUUUAUAUUUUAUUUUUAUUUAGGUUUAAAUUUUUAUUAAAAAUAGUUAUUUAAUAAAAUAAAUAACUGUUAUAAUGAUAAAAUUAGUAAAUUUUAUGUAACUAAUAUAUAGUAAUUCGGCAAAAUUAUCCUUCACCUGUUUAACAAAAACAUGUUCUAAUGUUUAAUUUUAUUAGAUUUAACCUGCUCAAUGAUGAUUUAUUAAAUAGCCGCAGUAUUUUGACUGUGCGAAGGUAGCAUAAUCAUUUGUCUUUUAAUUGGGGGCUUGUAUGAAAGGUUGAAUGAGGGGAUAACUUUCUUUAUAUUAAAUAUUGAAUUUAAUAUUUAAGUUAAAAAGCUUAAAUUUUUAAAAGGGACGAGAAGACCCUAUAGAAUUUUAUAUUUUUUAUAAAUUAAUUAUUUUGGUUAAUUUUUAAUUUAAUUUAUAAAUAAUAUUUUGUUGGGGUGAUAGUAAGAUUUAUUUAACUCUUAUAAUUUAUUUUAUUGUUGAUUGGCAUAUUUAUGAUCCUAUUUUAUGGAUAAUUAGAC
RNAcentral lists this ribosomal RNA (701 nucleotides) under Eysarcoris annamita. RNAcentral's name for it is "partial 16S ribosomal RNA". The stretch from base 301 to 464 matches the Rfam family "Archaeal large subunit ribosomal RNA", at positions 1883 to 2090 of the family's 2987-position model. The record is from RNAcentral. Lineage: Eukaryota; Metazoa; Arthropoda; Insecta; Hemiptera; Pentatomidae.